GACUGAAUUCCAGCAAGGAUCUCCUUCCAACAGUUGAGAAUCAAGGUAAGGUGUUGUAUGCUGUGAUGCUGGAACUGUGAUCGUAAGGUGAUUUCCAGCAGCAUC
Long non-coding RNA from Zingiber officinale, 105 nucleotides. RefSeq lists it as uncharacterized. Lineage: Eukaryota; Viridiplantae; Streptophyta; Magnoliopsida; Zingiberales; Zingiberaceae. The transcript has 3 exons. The record is from RefSeq and is a predicted model, not a curated record.